Molecule: unclassified non-coding RNA, 1097 nt
Filed under: Zea mays
Lineage: Eukaryota; Viridiplantae; Streptophyta; Magnoliopsida; Poales; Poaceae
Description: misc RNA Zm00001eb442040
Source: RNAcentral
CAGCUGCACACCUGGUGAAUAAAGCCAGUCUGUCCAGGCGGAGGCAAGCUGUUGUGGCUGCGACACAAACACUGCGCCAUCACAUACACAUACCAUCUCUCCACCAUCCUCUGUCCAGACGACCAGACCAAAUUAAAAGGAGAAGCAAACAGAGAUCUGGCAAUCUGGGUGGGGGUGGGCGGCGAGAGAGCAGGAGAAGACCAUUGCCCCUUGAAGGCGGGCUCCAGAGCGAGCUUCUCCGCCCUCUCUGUUUGCCUUGCCUGCUUGCCUCUACUCGUCCGGCCCAGCCAUGGCCACCAUCCUGGAGACCAUCCAGAAGGCGAGGCUCCUGCCGCCCAGGCCGCCUCAAGGACGAGCUGCCAACCUUCGGCGGCGGCGGCAGAGAGGAGAGCCACCCUCACGGGCCUGCGGAAGCGGCUGUCCGCCUUCUCCGGCAAGAUCCAGCCCAUCUCCUCCGCGUCGGCCGAGUGGGCGUUUCCGCCGGCGCUCCCGGCCGGCGCCCCUCCCUCUCCGCGGGAGGCGGCUCCCUGAGGCAAGUGGUGGCGGCGGGGCGUCGUCGGCUGGCUUCUGUCCCGGAAGCCGGGGUUCGCGGGCGACCUCGAGAUGAACGAGGACGAGGGCCGCCACGGCGGCAGGGGCACCUGGGGCUGGGGCCACGUCCUUUACAGGGUGCGCUCCGGCGUCCGCCGCCUCGUCGUGUCCGCGCACUCGCUCCCCACCACGCAGAGUCAGUCCCUGCCGCCGCCGGCGCACUGCAAGCCGGCGGCGCUCGCCCACGCGCAGAGGCUGGGCUUCCACCACGCCGGCCACGCCAUGGCGCACUAAGGAGGGUCGCCGGUCGCGCCGCGCCGCGCUGCGCUUGCCGGUGCUGUUUGCGGCCGAUCUCCCUCCAGAUUCGGAAACGGAGAAGCGGGCGAGAGGCACGAGAAGAGGAGGAUUCAGGUUGCAGGUAGGUGCGUGAGAUCGGUGGCGAAGAAAUCGCUGUACCGUUAUAAGUGAAAACUAGCUCGGUGAAUCGAUGGUGAAUGGAAUGGAAUGGAAGGUUUACCAUCCUGUGCUGUAGAGGUCAACUGGUCAAGUGUUGUAUCAUAUGCUCG